AUCCGGAGGGUGCAAGCGUUAUUCGGAAUCACUGGGCGUAAAGGGUGCGUAGGCGGCUUGAUAAGUCGGAUGUGAAAGCCCCGGGCUUAACCUGGGAAUUGCAUUCGAUACUGUCAGGCUAGAGUAUGUCAGAGGUUGGCGGAAUUCCUGGUGUAGCGGUGAAAUGCGUAGAUAUCAGGAGGAACACCAGUGGCGAAGGCGGCUAACUGGGGCAAUACUGACGCUGAGGCACGAAAGCGUGGGGAGCAAACAGGAUUAGAAACCCUAGUAGUCC
Molecule: ribosomal RNA, 274 nt
Filed under: uncultured bacterium
Lineage: Bacteria
Description: partial 16S ribosomal RNA
Rfam family: Bacterial small subunit ribosomal RNA
Source: RNAcentral